UGACAAACAUAUGUUGAUCGUGUAAAAGGUUGUCGAUUUAAAGUAUUUCUAACAGACUUCUAUCGCUAAAGUAUUCGACAAAAUAUUACAUCCCUGAGAAUUGCUAUUGACAUCCUCGGAAGAAGAAUACUUCAUUAUUUCUUUAUGACGAUCUCUUAUGCUGUACACCCUUAGUAAGGAACAUUAUCUCAAUAAAGCACUUUGAUUGGAGUACGUCGAAAAAGAUUUUGCCUAUAAAAUCCGCCGAUGUAGUCCCAGCC
Mycetomoellerius zeteki is the source of this 260-nucleotide long non-coding RNA. RefSeq lists it as uncharacterized. The record is from RefSeq and is a predicted model, not a curated record. NCBI's taxonomy places the organism in Eukaryota, Metazoa, Arthropoda, Insecta, Hymenoptera, Formicidae. The transcript is spliced from 3 exons.